Non-coding RNA from Ictidomys tridecemlineatus (thirteen-lined ground squirrel), 72 nucleotides. NCBI's taxonomy places the organism in Eukaryota, Metazoa, Chordata, Mammalia, Rodentia, Sciuridae. The record is from Rfam.
GGGGUUGUGGUUCAGUGGUAGAGUGCUCAUCUAGCAUAUGUGAGGCACUGGGUUCGAUCCUCAGCAGCACAU